GCCUGUUGUGUCUCACAGAUAACGCCACUCCACGUUAGUUAUACAGCUACAUAACAACCUACCUGUUGAGCCCUGCAUGUACGCGUCAUCCCUUGACGUACAGUAAAUUGACGACAACCUGUCUUUACAUAUCCAGACAAGGAACGACAACAUAACAACGUUCAUACCUUUACACUGACAGUGGACUACAUAACUUGUGUGUACUCGGCAGCAACCCAACAACGUUGAGUCAACAUGGAUCCCAGUCAUGUGGAACAACAAGAAGAGAUACAGCCCCCAGAGGGAAAUGUCCCAGAUCUAGAACUAUUACAAAAUCCGUCUAAUACCACACAUUUAGAUGAAAAUCCCGAGACUAGGCGAGUACGGGAUCUCACCGAAAAAGGUAAAGGAGCCUACACAGAAAAACGUAACAAGUUCUGUGAGGAAUUAGAGGUCCUUUGGUCAGAUAUAACGACCCAGUUAUUGGAAAUCACCACACCUCCCAAUGAACUUCAGCAAGUCUUAACAGCCCAG
This 513-nucleotide long non-coding RNA is filed under the name Mytilus galloprovincialis (Mediterranean mussel). The record is from RNAcentral. Lineage: Eukaryota; Metazoa; Mollusca; Bivalvia; Mytilida; Mytilidae.